This 394-nucleotide ribosomal RNA is filed under the name uncultured bacterium. Its description in RNAcentral is "partial 16S ribosomal RNA". It matches the Rfam family "Bacterial small subunit ribosomal RNA", at positions 360 to 773 of the family's 1533-position model. The record is from RNAcentral.
AAUCUUCCACAAUGGGCGAAAGCCUGAUGGAGCGACGCCGCGUGAAGGAUGAAGGCCCUAGGGUCGUAAACUUCUAAAAGAGGGACGAUGAUGACGGUACCUCUUGAAAAGCACCGGCUAACUACGUGCCAGCAGCCGCGGUAAUACGUAGGGGGCAAGCGUUGUCCGGAAUUAUUGGGCGUAAAGGGUGCGUAGGCGGCCUUUUAAGUCAGGUGUGAAAGCCCACGGCUUAACCGUGGGAUUGCAUUUGAAACUGGAAGGCUUGAGUAUCGGAGAGGGUAGUGGAAUUCCCAGUGUAGCGGUGGAAUGCGUAGAUAUUGGGAGGAACACCAGUGGCGAAGGCGACUACCUGGACGAAAACUGACGCUGAGGCACGAAAGCUAGGGGAGCAAAC